AUUUGGUGCUGAGGACACUUGAUAAACAACUUCUUAAAUCACUCCUAGUAAUCACAAAGUGACUCCCCUGGGUGCUGCUUGAUAUCACAGAUCUCCUUUCUUAGACU
Molecule: small nucleolar RNA, 107 nt
Organism: Coffea eugenioides
Lineage: Eukaryota; Viridiplantae; Streptophyta; Magnoliopsida; Gentianales; Rubiaceae
Source: RefSeq, a predicted model, not a curated record